UAUCAGGGCACAGUCACAAA
This 20-nucleotide unclassified non-coding RNA is filed under the name Mus musculus (house mouse). RNAcentral describes it as "oocyte_clustered_small_RNA6663". The record is from RNAcentral. Lineage: Eukaryota; Metazoa; Chordata; Mammalia; Rodentia; Muridae.